Long non-coding RNA from Pongo pygmaeus (Bornean orangutan), 473 nucleotides. RefSeq lists it as uncharacterized. The transcript has 3 exons. NCBI's taxonomy places the organism in Eukaryota, Metazoa, Chordata, Mammalia, Primates, Hominidae. The record is from RefSeq and is a predicted model, not a curated record.
GCCCAGUCCGCCAGGUGGUCGGGAAGGCAGCCGGCGCCCCCAGAUUUAGAACUGUUGCAGUGCCGAGCUUCCAGGGACGUGAAGCCGGAAAGCCAGGCGCCCUUCUUGACUGCGCCUAGGUGGAACUGGCCCUCCAGCAGCUUGAACGUAGCGUCUUUUCACACUGGUAGUUCCUGAGCCUCUUGUGAAAUGAAAGAUGUUCCUCAGUCCAAACUGAGGACGGAGAAAAGCUGUAAAGCUGACACUGAAGCUAGAAUGACUUGUCAGCCACCUUUGAGCAAGAACUUGCCUGGAGUCCAAAUGUAUGGCUAUUGAAGGAUAGUAAGCAGACAGCACUAAAAGUCAUCCAUUUGUUAUGGAUUUAGUCUUAAGACCCUCAUUUGAGAGAUGCCUUCCCCAUACCUGAGGAAAGAAACAUCCUUAUCUCUGAAGACACAGGGCCACAGAGAAGAGUCUGAACAAACAGGCUUUAC